Molecule: ribosomal RNA, 435 nt
Filed under: Triticum aestivum (bread wheat)
Lineage: Eukaryota; Viridiplantae; Streptophyta; Magnoliopsida; Poales; Poaceae
Description: partial small subunit ribosomal RNA
Source: RNAcentral
AUGUCUUCCUCAAGCUCCUGCGCCACCUCGCGGAUGCAGAGCGGGGCGCGUGUGGACAUGCGUGUCUUUGUCUGUCCGCGGUGUCGGGCGGGCGUUGUUCAGAGGGUUUCUCACACACUGAGGAACCAAAUUCUUCCGUUUUAUGUGUGCAGCGAGAAUGGGGUGACAUGCUUCUUUCUUUGGGUCGAUGCUCUGGCCAAGACUCUGAUGAAUGAACUGCAAGAAGAGCAUGAAGAAUGGUUUAUGCUGCCACGAACAGUAGUGGCUGCAACACGAGCUCCAGAAGAAGAGAUGGAGGGCGAAGCACGCACUUACAGAGAGAUAGCUGUUCAGCUUAGGAUGUUGAAGAAGAAGGUUAGGAAGGUUGAAGAUCAAUGUAACAGCCUGAUUUUUGGCCCUUUCUUUUUCUUUUGUUUUUCCGAGGUUUUUGCCUGA